This 498-nucleotide ribosomal RNA is filed under the name uncultured bacterium. Its description in RNAcentral is "partial 16S ribosomal RNA". It matches the Rfam family "Bacterial small subunit ribosomal RNA", at positions 899 to 1397 of the family's 1533-position model. The record is from RNAcentral.
ACUCAAAUGAAUAGACGGGGGCCCGCACAAGCGGUGGAGCAUGUGGUUUAAUUCGACGCAACGCGAAGAACCUUACCUGGGCUCGAAAUGUACGGGACACGUGUAGAAAUACAUUCUCCUAGCAAUAGGUCCGUAUAUAGGUGCUGCAUGGCUGUCGUCAGCUCGUGUCGUGAGAUGUUGGGUUAAGUCCCGCAACGAGCGCAACCCUUACCUCUAGUUGCUACCAUUUAGUUGAGCACUCUAGCGGAACCGCUUCGGAUAACGGAGAGGAAGGUGGGGAUGACGUCAAGUCCUCAUGGCCUGUAUGUCCAGGGCUACACACGUGCUACAAUGGCCGGUACAAACCGCUGCAACCCCGCGAGGGUGAGCUAAUCGGAAAAAGCCGGCCUCAGUUCGGAUUGGAGUCUGCAACUCGACUCCAUGAAGCUGGAAUCGCUAGUAAUCGUGGAUCAGCAUGCCACGGUGAAUACGUUCCCGGGCCUUGUACACACCGCCCGU